Chenopodium quinoa (quinoa) is the source of this 3759-nucleotide long non-coding RNA. RefSeq lists it as uncharacterized. The record is from RefSeq and is a predicted model, not a curated record. Lineage: Eukaryota; Viridiplantae; Streptophyta; Magnoliopsida; Caryophyllales; Amaranthaceae. The transcript has 4 exons.
AAAAGGUCACAAUGAGUAAUUUGGAAUAGAUGAAGUAUAAAAACUAAUAUAUUAAGGUUAUCUAUAAAUUUAUUAAUAUUGGUAAUUUGGAACGGGUGAAGUUGCUAUAUACUUCGUAUUAGUUUGAUACUAUAUAAAGAGGUUUUAAAUCAUUAUAAACCCCGACCAGCCUCAUUAAGAAUCCAUAAUUGAGUGAUCAUAUAAAGACCCGACCCAAUUAUUUAUUGGACAGAUUUGACCCAUAUAUAACUGUGGUAGGUUAAGGCUUUUAUUAAUUGCUCUGAAAAUAAGGGAAAAAGAAAACAUAUGAACAUAGCCCUGCCUAGUGCCUCCUCCUCUCUCUGAGUUCUCCAUUGAAGCGCACUCAGCCUCGAAAGAAUAUGAAGCUAAAGAAAAUUCCUGGGUAUAUUCUGUUUUGCCAAUUAUGAACACACAUAUUUUCUAUGUAAGAUAGACCUUUUUUUUUAUUAUGUACAUGAUUUUGUGUGGUAUUAUUGGUAGAAUUAACAGAAAGCUUGAAGCGACUGAUGAUUAUGAUGAUGAUGUCAUGGCUUUGGAGGGUGCUACUCGUAAGUCGUAACAGUAGGCGUGCCUUUACUCCUAGUAAACUCUCCCUGAUUGUUCCUGUCAAUGGAAACAGGGCUCAAGUUACAUCGUUAACUUUUUGACAACUUAAAUAGCAUGAUUUGGCAGUUCUGGUGGCCAUUGGGUUCUGAUCAUUCCCUGUCAGAUGUUUGAGAAUAGUGGAACUUGGCCGAUUGUUCUGUGUACCCCCCAGGUUUAGAAAAAUGCACCACAUGUAUCCCUGAGAUUUGUAAAAAAAAAAAUAUGCACCGAAUACCCCUAGACUCAUAACAAAUGUUAAUUUUGUUAGAUUGAGAUCCCCUAAGCAUCAAAUUCUAUUAAAUUAUUAUAUUGUAAUGCUAAAACAUUUAAAUUAUCAAGUAAACUUAAGUAAAAGCGAGUCGGUGUGUGGGCAUGAUUUUAGUUUGAUAAGUCAAUGAUAUGUGCAUUUGAUAGAUGAUGAGGAUAUUUAGUGCUUAUUUUUUACAAAUGGUGCAUUUGAAAGUUUUCAGGGGUAUACGGGGCAAUUUCCCUAAAUUUUUUUUUUUGUGUCUUGAUGUUAAUUGAAGUUAUUAAGCGACUGCUCGUGGAAAUUUUGAUUAGUUGAGAAGAGGUCCUGAUUGUUGAUCAUGAUUUUUUAUUGCCACCUUCCAGCUAUAGCCUGUAGGAUGAGGGAUGUAUCCUUGCCUAUAUUGAGUGAUGCAGAGACCAGGAGAUUAUGGGAAUGGUCAAACUACAAGUCUGUAAUUAUGAUUUUUUGAGUAAAAUUCUUUUAUAUGCUGAACUUGAGGUGGUGGGAGUCUUGGGACUAUGUGACUUAUUUCUGGACAGGAGUAUGUAGUCAACUUGUACUAAUUAAUAAGCUCAUUGGCUCAAUACUAUUUACUGUCAUACUUGAUACCUUUGCUUUUGAUCACGAGGAAACAGGUACAUCGUUAACUUUUUCAAUAAUCCCUGUGUCAAUAUGUCGAUUGCAAUGUGUUGAAAUUUAUAGCAGCAUUCAUGGUUAGUUAUCAGUAUAAUCUGACUGCUUUUGACUGUUGAUGAAAAACAUUCACUAUUAAGUGUUAUUUUCUUGCAACUUUUGAAAGGGUGUAUCUGGUGACGAUAACUUGCCUGAAAGAGAUGAUCUAGGAGAAAGGAGAUGGAACCACCAACUUCGGGUUCUGGCUAGAGCCGGAAUCAAGUCAAAAGAUAGUGAUGUUGUUGCACUUGAUAAUGAGUCAGAGUUUGGGUGGCAUAACUGGCAAUGGAGAUGAUGCUGGAGAUAGUGAUGAAUCAGAAGACUUCUACAAUUUAGUUAAAAAACAAAAAGAAGCCAAGUGUAAAUUGAAGGCAGAGAAGUAUUCCAGAAUCCCACAAAUCAAUAUGAACUAGAGAUCACUGCUGAUGGAAAACGUCACAUUUCCGCGCAGAUGGAGAUAAAUAGAGGGCUUACUUGUGAUCGAAAGCAGAUAAAAAAUCCACGGAAUAAUUACAAGCGGCAGCAUGAAAAAGCGGUUAAUAGCCGCAAGGGGCAGGUGCAUGAAGUUAAGCGAUCGAAGCUUAGUUAUGAAGGGGAACUUACUGGCAUCAAUCCUAGCAUCAGUCGAUGCAGGAGGCUGGGAUGAAGUUCUGUUAUUCGUCUGGGUGAUGGUUAAGUCUAAUGUGUUUGGAAUUGGGUAGGGUGGAAGAGUCUUACUACCAGAGUUAGAGAGUAGAGUUUUUUUUUUUUCAAAGAAAAUUUUGAAUUAUUUGUGUUGCAGCUUCUGUCUGAUUGAAACAAAUCAUUUACUGUAUGAAACAAUCCAUUUUUGUUCACUUUGAAGAUGUCAUAUAUAAUUUCAAAAAUGUAUCAAAAUCUCUGCUAUUGAGGGGCCUAGGUGGAGGGUCGGCAAUGGUUCAAAUAUUAAGGUUGGGAACGAUAAGUGGCUGCCAGGAAAUGCAAUCCCAUUGCCUCAUUUUAAUGCCGUUUAUAACCCAAAUCUUACUGUUGCAGAGCUAAUUGAGCAGAACAGUGGGGUGUGGAAUGUGAGUGUUAUCAGAGAAUGCUUUCAACCUGCUAUAUGCCAGACUAUCUUACAACUGCCGUUGUCUUUGAGCUUACCUUCUGAUGAGAUGUUUUGGUGGCCAACAAAGAAUGGGAUAUAUACUGUAAACUUGUAAAGCCAGGUUAUUGGCUAGGAGUGUUGGGGCAACACCAGGUAGAAAGCGUUGAGAAUGCUGAUCUUUGGAUUGGGGGUGGAGUCUAUUAAUCAUGUCCUAUUCGAAUGUGAUGCUGCUAGAAGGGUGUGGGCCAAUAGUGAGUAUGGUGACACAAUUGCUGCAUUCCCGUCUGGUUCUUUCACCUUAAAACUCCUUUGGUUUGCAAGCAAAUUGGAUGUAAAGGAAGUUAGUAGCAUCAUGUGUUUGGCUUGGGCUAUUUGGUUCUGCCGCAACAAAUGUGUCUUUGAGCAAGCUGUACCUGAUCCUGUUUUCACAGCCUGUGAUUCAAGGAGAUGGUGGAUGACUACUGCCUCUAUGCUAAGCAGGUCUUCUCUACAACGUCAAGGCCAGCUGCUGGACUGAUUAAGAUUAAUGUUGAUGCUCACAUAAUGGAAGGGAGAUAUGCUAGUCUUGGUGUGGCUGUUCGUGAUGAGAAUGGUACUUUGGUGAUUGCUGCUGUGAAAAGGGUGAACUUUCCCUGGGAUGCGCUCACUGCCGAAGCUGCAGCAACCAGGUUUGGUUUACAAAUAGCUCGCAGAUUUGGAUACAGUAAGAUCUGGAUUGAAGGAGAUGCUAUUAAUGUUAUGAAGGCUGCUGAUUCACCUCAGGAGGGUCAAGCUCCAAUCUUUCUGAUAUAUGAUUGAUGAUAUAAGUCGUUAUCAAAUAGCUUUGAUCUGGAUUUGUUCUCAUGUUAAACGGGGCGGGAAUACAGUAGCUCACCUAAUUGCUAGGUGGGAUACAAGAGGAGAUGAAUUAAUUUGUAUGGAUUCGUUCCCCCAUAGUGUCUUAAUUUUGGUGGAUUAUGAUUUGCAAUAAUAAUCCUCGUUUGUUUUUUUUUAAAAAAAAAACCGUGUGCAUUAAAAUUAUGUGAAAAAUAAAACAAGACUAAUAUAAAGAAUAAUAACACUAUUUUUAUCUUCAAUCAAUUUUACCCUGAUAAAUUUACCCGAUCUUACAUAGCAAAAUAACCAGCGUGGAGUAACUUCGGUUGUUACUCAAAUGAGUAACUUG